This 676-nucleotide long non-coding RNA is filed under the name Populus tremula. Its description in RNAcentral is "long non-coding RNA (PTRE_LNC000657)". Lineage: Eukaryota; Viridiplantae; Streptophyta; Magnoliopsida; Malpighiales; Salicaceae. The record is from RNAcentral.
AGAUCAUUAUGGGCAGGCUAGUUGGCCAAGAUUGAAUUAAAUAUGAUUGAAAUUCAACAGCAAAAACUUUAAUUGCUUGACUGGAUUUUCUCAAGUGGGAUUUAAUUCUCUUUUUAAAUGAACAAGAGAGAAGGGAUAGGAUUCCAUCGAAAGCCAUGAUCUUUCUGCUUUCAAAUACUUUUCUCCUCCUUGGCACCCACCGCACACGGAUCGCACACUGUCAUCACACCGUGUGCGGCCACCUUGCAUGAUCGUGAGCCCACAUCUAUCCCAUCUUCCCUUUCAAUGAAGCCACCAACUUGUUUUUUUUUGUUUUCUUGUUUUUUGUUAAGUGGGCAAAGCUUUCAUUUGCUGAAAACUUGACUCGCGUAAAUGUUUAUUUGCUAGAUAUUUUGAAUGUGACUCAAUGCGCACUCGUCUAAGAUGAAAACUUACAAUAAAGUAGAUAGAUAGACGAAGAAAAUCCAAACAAGAGGUUAAAUCAUUCGCUAGCAGUAAUCAAAGAACAAGGGUGAUUGUUUUGACGAACGAGGGAAGUAGUUGAUGAUCAAGAAACGAUGAGCAUAGUCAAAGGCACAUGAUUAAAGAUAUUGGAAAAGCUAGAAAAGUAGAAUCUCCUCUCCAAGACCUGCACAUUAAUAAAGAUUACGUUGAGGGAAAGAAGCAAGUAGAAGUG